Rana temporaria (common frog) is the source of this 1471-nucleotide long non-coding RNA. RefSeq lists it as uncharacterized. The record is from RefSeq and is a predicted model, not a curated record. The transcript is spliced from 4 exons. Lineage: Eukaryota; Metazoa; Chordata; Amphibia; Anura; Ranidae.
AGCUCUGGCUGCCAGACAGUGGGGGGACUUUGAGUUGCAGAUUAUUGCAGACUAAGCAGUCUGUCUCUGCAGCAGCAUACACCGGGGCUCUGGGAAUUGUCCAAAUUAGCUCAUUAAUAGAGACUAGGUCCCAGGCAGGAGUCGUGCUUGUCUCUCUCUUCCCUCUAUUCCAGGGCUGCACUCUCCUUCCUGGAAGUCUCCAGGAGAGAGCACCAUGCCCCCCUCCAUAAAGACACCACUCUGCUAACUAUGUACAAGUCAGGACAGGGAGUGGAGGAGGCACAGAGCAGGGACGCCUGCAGCCUAUUGUUCUCCUUGUGACCAUGACCACCAUGCAGUGUCAUAGCUGCUGCCGGGGUCGUACGGUGUGCAAUCCCCAUGUAACAUUCUACAGCAGUGGUGACCCAUGUGAAACCUCGUUUGCAGAUGGAAGAUUUCCUAAGGGAUCUCUCCAUCUGUACAACGGGGUCAUCCACAAAGAGAACAGUGAGGCCUACAGAACCCUGACUCCAGAAAAAUGGCUGCAUACAUCAUUUCAUUGAAAAAAGUACCUCCUCCUGUGUUAAUCAUGUAUCUUCCACGUGUAGUAUGUUUGGUUUAUGGUUGUUGACAUACUCAUUAUGUCAUAUAUUGGGACUCGUCCCUAUGUAAAUCAUCAAGUGUAAGACUAUAUGGGACUCUGAGCCUUGCUUUAGAGAAUUACCACCAAGUUGUACCAUAACUCAAUUUUUUUUAUUUUAUUUUUUGUUAUUUUUUUAUAGUACAGGUCAGGUGAAUCUCUUCACACUGUGAAUUCAUAUUACACACAGUACAGGUGGGCCUUGUGGCCUGUUUCUAUCACAACAACGUCUUCCUCUACUUCAACACAACUUGUUACAAUAACCUGGUAAACAACACUCAGUUGUUUUUCAGAGAUAUGGGGAGUUAAGUUUGAUUUCUGAGCUAUCUUUGUUGUUCUCUUUAUUGUAGUUUAGUAUUCUUUGAGCCAGCAAAUUCUCCUUUACCCUUCAGCUAUUUUUCUUCUUUCCCUGAGGUGGAGAGGAAGUAGCAGAGCUACUGUCUACUUGACAGAGCUGGUGUCACUAUGGUCAUAUGCGUUUUUACCCAGUGCCUCGUGAAGAUAACUUUGUGGACUUCUGAUGGAAACACAGAGGCUGCUGUUGCUGACUGGCAUUUCUCAAAAUGCUUGUUGGCUUGCUGUCAGGCCGGUGACCUGGCUUCUACACAUUGAGUCACUAACCAAAAACAAGUAUGCCGAUAAGGUCUUCUAUAUUUGAGACCUUCCUGAUCUACAUACUUUUUUGUUGGUCAUUGAGUCAAAGUAUUGAAGCCAGCGGGUCCUUGUAAUACCCAGGCAGCUAGCAUUUUCAGGAGGUCGACAGUGGUAGCCCCAAAAUAUACCUCAUGUAAACUUUGCUUUUAAAGUAUAUAUCAAGCCAAAACCAGUUCUAGUUUUCGAUAGAGUGGGGAA